This 1671-nucleotide ribosomal RNA is filed under the name Escherichia coli. RNAcentral's name for it is "partial 23S ribosomal RNA". It matches the Rfam family "Bacterial large subunit ribosomal RNA", at positions 1291 to 2925 of the family's 2925-position model. The record is from RNAcentral. Lineage: Bacteria; Pseudomonadati; Pseudomonadota; Gammaproteobacteria; Enterobacterales; Enterobacteriaceae.
CGAAUGCUGACAUAAGUAACGAUAAAGCGGGUGAAAAGCCCGCUCGCCGGAAGACCAAGGGUUCCUGUCCAACGUUAAUCGGGGCAGGGUGAGUCGACCCCUAAGGCGAGGCCGAAAGGCGUAGUCGAUGGGAAACAGGUUAAUAUUCCUGUACUUGGUGUUACUGCGAAGGGGGGACGGAGAAGGCUAUGUUGGCCGGGCGACGGUUGUCCCGGUUUAAGCGUGUAGGCUGGUUUUCCAGGCAAAUCCGGAAAAUCAAGGCUGAGGCGUGAUGACGAGGCACUACGGUGCUGAAGCAACAAAUGCCCUGCUUCCAGGAAAAGCCUCUAAGCAUCAGGUAACAUCAAAUCGUACCCCAAACCGACACAGGUGGUCAGGUAGAGAAUACCAAGGCGCUUGAGAGAACUCGGGUGAAGGAACUAGGCAAAAUGGUGCCGUAACUUCGGGAGAAGGCACGCUGAUAUGUAGGUGAAGCGACUUGCUCGUGGAGCUGAAAUCAGUCGAAGAUACCAGCUGGCUGCAACUGUUUAUUAAAAACACAGCACUGUGCAAACACGAAAGUGGACGUAUACGGUGUGACGCCUGCCCGGUGCCGGAAGGUUAAUUGAUGGGGUCAGCGCAAGCGAAGCUCUUGAUCGAAGCCCCGGUAAACGGCGGCCGUAACUAUAACGGUCCUAAGGUAGCGAAAUUCCUUGUCGGGUAAGUUCCGACCUGCACGAAUGGCGUAAUGAUGGCCAGGCUGUCUCCACCCGAGACUCAGUGAAAUUGAACUCGCUGUGAAGAUGCAGUGUACCCGCGGCAAGACGGAAAGACCCCGUGAACCUUUACUAUAGCUUGACACUGAACAUUGAGCCUUGAUGUGUAGGAUAGGUGGGAGGCUUAGAAGUGUGGACGCCAGUCUGCAUGGAGCCGACCUUGAAAUACCACCCUUUAAUGUUUGAUGUUCUAACGUUGACCCGUGAUCCGGGUUGCGGACAGUGUCUGGUGGGUAGUUUGACUGGGGCGGUCUCCUCCUAAAGAGUAACGGAGGAGCACGAAGGUUGGCUAAUCCUGGUCGGACAUCAGGAGGUUAGUGCAAUGGCAUAAGCCAGCUUGACUGCGAGCGUGACGGCGCGAGCAGGUGCGAAAGCAGGUCAUAGUGAUCCGGUGGUUCUGAAUGGAAGGGCCAUCGCUCAACGGAUAAAAGGUACUCCGGGGAUAACAGGCUGAUACCGCCCAAGAGUUCAUAUCGACGGCGGUGUUUGGCACCUCGAUGUCGGCUCAUCACAUCCUGGGGCUGAAGUAGGUCCCAAGGGUAUGGCUGUUCGCCAUUUAAAGUGGUACGCGAGCUGGGUUUAGAACGUCGUGAGACAGUUCGGUCCCUAUCUGCCGUGGGCGCUGGAGAACUGAGGGGGGCUGCUCCUAGUACGAGAGGACCGGAGUGGACGCAUCACUGGUGUUCGGGUUGUCAUGCCAAUGGCACUGCCCGGUAGCUAAAUGCGGAAGAGAUAAGUGCUGAAAGCAUCUAAGCACGAAACUUGCCCCGAGAUGAGUUCUCCCUGACUCCUUGAGAGUCCUGAAGGAACGUUGAAGACGACGACGUUGAUAGGCCGGGUGUGUAAGCGCAGCGAUGCGUUGAGCUAACCGGUACUAAUGAACCGUGAGGCUUAACCUUACAACGCCGAAGCUGUU